CGCCAGACUCCUACGGGAGGCAGCAGUGAGGAAUAUUGGUCAAUGGCCGGAAGGCUGAACCAGCCAAGUCGCGUGAGGGAAUAAGGCCCUAUGGGUCGUAAACCUCUUUUGUCAGGGAGCAAUUGGCGCUACGUGUAGCGUUAUCGAGAGUACCUGAAGAAAAAGCAUCGGCUAACUCCGUGCCAGCAGCCGCGGUAAUACGGAGGAUGCGAGCGUUAUCCGGAUUUAUUGGGUUUAAAGGGUGCGUAGGCGGAAUGCCAAGUCAGGGGUAAAAUCGCGGGGCUCAACCUCGGUCCGCCGUUGAAACUGGCGUUCUUGAGUGGGCGAGAAGUAUGCGGAAUGCGUGGUGUAGCGGUGAAAUGCAUAGAUAUCACGCAGAACUCCGAUUGCGAAGGCAGCAUACCGGCGCCCAACUGACGCUGAAGCACGAAAGCGUGGGUAUCGAACAGGAUUAGAUACCCCCGUAAA
Molecule: ribosomal RNA, 468 nt
Filed under: uncultured bacterium
Lineage: Bacteria
Description: bacterial SSU rRNA
Rfam family: Bacterial small subunit ribosomal RNA
Source: RNAcentral